CCUACGGGAGGCAGCAGUGGGGAAUUUUGGACAAUGGGCGCAAGCCUGAUCCAGCCAUGCCGCGUGCGGGAAGAAGGCCUUCGGGUUGUAAACCGCUUUUGUCAGGGAAGAAAAGGUUCUGGAUAAUACCUGGGACUCAUGACGGUACCUGAAGAAUAAGCACCGGCUAACUACGUGCCAGCAGCCGCGGUAAUACGUAGGGUGCAAGCGUUAAUCGGAAUUACUGGGCGUAAAGCGUGCGCAGGCGGUUAUGCAAGACAGAGGUGAAAUCCCCGGGCUCAACCUGGGAACUGCCUUUGUGACUGCAUAGCUAGAGUACGGUAGAGGGGGAUGGAAUUCCGCGUGUAGCAGUGAAAUGCGUAGAUAUGCGGAGGAACACCGAUGGCGAAGGCAAUCCCCUGGACCUGUACUGACGCUCAUGCACGAAAGCGUGGGGAGCAAACAGGAUUAGAUACCCUGGUAGUCCCGACGACCUAACCGUACUAGUCACUAGGUUGUUGGGUAGGGUUUCGUUCUCUAGUAACGUAAGACGUACGCGUGUAGUAGACG
Molecule: ribosomal RNA, 549 nt
Filed under: uncultured bacterium
Lineage: Bacteria
Description: bacterial SSU rRNA
Rfam family: Bacterial small subunit ribosomal RNA
Source: RNAcentral